ACGUGCUCUACCGAUUGAUGGCUCAGUGAGGCGUCCGGACUGGCCCAGAGAGGUGGGCAACUACCACUCAGGGCCGGAAAGCUCUCCAAACUCGGUCAUUUAGAGGAAGUAAAAGUCGUAACAAGGUCUCCGUUGGUGAACCAGCGGAGGGAUCAUUACCGAGUUAUACAACUCAUCAACCCUGUGAACAUACCUAAAACGUUGCUUCGGCGGGAACAGACGGCCCUGUAACAACGGGCCGCCCCCGCCAGAGGACCCCUAACUCUGUUUUUAUAAUGUUUUUCUGAGUAAACAAGCAAAUAAAUUAAAACUUUCAACAACGGAUCUCUUGGCUCUGGCAUCGAUGAAGAACGCAGCGAAAUGCGAUAAGUAAUGUGAAUUGCAGAAUUCAGUGAAUCAUCGAAUCUUUGAACGCACAUUGCGCCCGCCAGUAUUCUGGCGGGCAUGCCUGUUCGAGCGUCAUUACAACCCUCAGGCCCCCGGGCCUGGCGUUGGGGAUCGGCAGAAGCCCCCUGUGGGCACACGCCGUCCCUCAAAUACAGUGGCGGUCCCGCCGCAGCUUCCAUUGCGUAGUAGCUAACACCUCGCAACUGGAGAGCGGCGCGGCCAUGCCGUAAAACACCCAACUUCUGAAUGUUGACCUCGAAUCAGGUAGGAAUACCCGCUGAACUUAAGCAUAUCAAUAAGCGGAGGAAAAGAAACCAACAGGGAUUGCCCCAGUAACGGCGAGUGAAGCGGCAACAGCUCAAAUUUGAAAUCUGGCUCUCGGGCCCGAGUUGUAAUUUGUAGAGGAUGCUUUUGGUGAGGUGCCUUCCGAGUUCCCUGGAACGGGACGCCAUAGAGGGUGAGAGCCCCGUCUGGUUGGACACCGAUCCUCUGUAAAGCUCCUUCGACGAGUCGAGUUUUUGUGGGAGAAUCG
RNAcentral lists this ribosomal RNA (919 nucleotides) under Fusarium sp. SS-R3. RNAcentral describes it as "eukaryotic LSU rRNA". The stretch from base 638 to 919 matches the Rfam family "Eukaryotic large subunit ribosomal RNA", at positions 1 to 287 of the family's 3401-position model. Lineage: Eukaryota; Fungi; Ascomycota; Sordariomycetes; Hypocreales; Nectriaceae. The record is from RNAcentral.